Molecule: ribosomal RNA, 496 nt
Filed under: uncultured bacterium
Lineage: Bacteria
Description: bacterial SSU rRNA
Rfam family: Bacterial small subunit ribosomal RNA
Source: RNAcentral
AUUGAACGCUGGCGGCAUGCCUUACACAUGCAAGUCGAACGGCAGCACGGGGGCAACCCUGGUGGCGAGUGGCGAACGGGUGAGUAACAUAUCGGAACAUACCCUAGAGUGGGGGAUAACGUAGCGAAAGUUACGCUAAUACCGCAUACGAUCUAAGGAUGAAAGUGGGGGAUCUUCGGACCUCAUGCUCAUGGAGUGGCCGAUAUCUGAUUAGCUAGUUGGUGAGGUAAAGGCUCACCAAGGCGACGAUCAGUAGCUGGUUUGAGAGAACGACCAGCCACACUGGAACUGAGACACGGUCCAGACUCCUACGGAGGCAGCAGUGGGGAAUUUUGGACAAUGGGCGAAAGCCUGAUCCAGCAAUGCCGCGUGUGUGAAGAAGGCCUUAGGGUUGUAAAGCACUUUCAGUCGGGAGGAAAAACCUGAUGUUAAUAGCUUCAGGCUUGACGCUACCGACAGAAGAAGCACCGGCUAACUCUGUGCCAGCAGCCGACGG